UAGCCCUACGGGGCGCAGCAGUGAGGAAUAUUGGUCAAUGGGCUUACGCCUGAACCAGCCAAGUCGCGUGAGGGAGGACUGCCCUAUGGGUUGUAAACCUCUUUUGUCGGGGAGCAAUUGGCGCUACGUGUAGCGUUAUCGAGAGUACCUGAAGAAAAAGCAUCGGCUAACUCCGUGCCAGCAGCCGCGGUAAUACGGAGGAUGCGAGCGUUAUCCGGAUUUAUUGGGUUUAAAGGGUGCGCAGGCGGGAGAUCAAGUCAGCGGUAAAAUGUCGGGGCUCAACCCCGGCCGGCCGUUGAAACUGG
This 305-nucleotide ribosomal RNA is filed under the name uncultured bacterium. RNAcentral describes it as "bacterial SSU rRNA". It matches the Rfam family "Bacterial small subunit ribosomal RNA", at positions 334 to 636 of the family's 1533-position model. The record is from RNAcentral.